UCUUCAUUUCACGCACUCUCUCACCGGUCAGAGAGGCGAGAGAGCACGCGAAAUGAAGAGA
Pristionchus pacificus is the source of this 61-nucleotide non-coding RNA. The record is from Rfam. NCBI's taxonomy places the organism in Eukaryota, Metazoa, Nematoda, Chromadorea, Rhabditida, Neodiplogasteridae.